UUGGAUCUACCCUCUCUUUGUGUUUUCCCAAACCCAACCGUGACACAGAGAUCGUGAGGACUUGAUUGCUGGGAUUGAUGAGUUUUUGGAUGAGGUGAUCGUUCUUCCUCCUGGAGAAUGGGACCCCAAGAUCCGCAUCGAACCCCCGAAGAAACUGCCUUCCGCAGAGAUGAGGAAGUCUGUUUUCUCUCUGAAUGAGCUGGGGCAUCCGAAUGGGAAUGCAGGAGGAGGUGCAGCGUCUGCAGAAGAAGAGGACCUGCCAGCUCCUCAUGAACUAGGAGAGGAGCUGAAAUUCACUGGCUGAUUUUGUGGAGGACUGUGGCUGAACAUUAAACGUAAAGUGCCCUGGUUUCUCAGUGACUUCUAUGAGGGCUUCCACAUCCAGUCCAUCUCUGCGGUGCUCUUCAUUUACCUGGGCUGCAUCACCAAUGCAAUCACCUUUGGAGGACUGCUGGGGGACGCAACCGACAACUACCAAGUAAUUAACCUUAGAGCCACAAAUGUUUUCCAUGGGCGAUGCUUACAUCUACAGAGCUGAUAUAAGACCAAUAUUCUGUUAUAUUCUACAUGAUGCUCAA
This 578-nucleotide long non-coding RNA is filed under the name Carassius auratus (goldfish). RNAcentral's name for it is "lncRNA (ENSCARG00000054043.1)". The record is from RNAcentral. Lineage: Eukaryota; Metazoa; Chordata; Actinopteri; Cypriniformes; Cyprinidae.